GAUGAACGCUGGCGGCGUGCUUAACACAUGCAAGUCGAACGAUGAAGCCCAGCUUGCUGGGUGGGUUCGUGGCGAACGGGUGAGUAACACGUGAGUAACCUGCCCUUAACUCUGGGAUAAGCCUGGGAAACUGGGUCUAAUACCGGAGAGGAGCGUCCACCGCAUGGGGGGGGUUGGGGAGAUUUAUCGGUUUUGGAUGGACUCGCGGCCUAUCAGCUUGUUGGUGAGGGAGUGGCUCACCAAGGCGACGACGGGUAGCCGGCCUGAGAGGGUGACCGGCCACACUGGGACUGAGACACGGCCCAGACUCCUACGGGAGGCAGCAGUGGGGAAUAUUGCACAAUGGGCGGAAGCCUGAUGCAGCGACGCCGCGUGAGGGAUGACGGCCUUCGGGUUGUAAACCUCUUUCAGUAGGGAAGAAGCGAAAGUGACGGUACCUGCAGAAGAAGCACCGGCUAACUACGUG
RNAcentral lists this ribosomal RNA (466 nucleotides) under uncultured bacterium. RNAcentral's name for it is "partial 16S ribosomal RNA". It matches the Rfam family "Bacterial small subunit ribosomal RNA", at positions 28 to 507 of the family's 1533-position model. The record is from RNAcentral.